Molecule: long non-coding RNA, 1816 nt
Organism: Marmota monax (woodchuck)
Lineage: Eukaryota; Metazoa; Chordata; Mammalia; Rodentia; Sciuridae
Exons: 2
Source: RefSeq, a predicted model, not a curated record
CUGUGGGACCUGAGAUGCACCCUGGGGGGGGGGACGGUCCACCUCCCGCUGGCGUGGGGUCUCUGCCACUUGGCCCCAGUCUGAGGGUGGGUGCCGGAGCCCGAGGACCUCGAGCACUUGCAGGCAGAGUCAGGGCGCACUGCUGGCAAGGUGACGCCACUUCUCAGUCUCGAACACGGCCGGUUCUCGACAGAGCUAGAACCCCUGGUCCUCUCAACCUGUGUCCAGGUGGACCCGGGCUGAUUCGUCCCAGGUACACUUUGCCAAGGAGCCACCCCAGACAGUGGCUCCCCUGAGAGCCGGGGUGGAGGGGCGCGCAGCUGACCAGGCCUGACAGUGUUACUUCCUUGGCCAUCAGACCCACACCUCAGAAGCCUGUCAGUCAGACAGCUGAUCCUCCUGGCCACCCUCAGCUCCUCCAUCAUCUGCUCUCUUCAUGUGGCCACAGAGGUGCAGCAGCCAUACAGCCCUACGCAGUGGGGCGCAGGGGGGGCGGCCAGGCACCGCUGACCUUGGCAGCUGACCGGGGGGGUCGCCGACGUCCCCAGCUGUGACGGGAGAGUCAUGCCAGGCUGUGCUGGGACGCCAGGCCCACUUUCCCUCAGGGCUCCGGCAGCCACUGCAGGACCUGCCGUCUCCCGGGGCCGAGGAUGGUCUCCUGCUGCCUCGCGCUCCUGGCUUUCGGCAGAGGAAACGCUCCAGUGGAAUGCAGGAGAUCUCCCUCAGGGUCCACGGCCCGAGGCCGGUGCCCAGGCGCGGCAGGGCUGAGAGCAUACGGGCCUGGUGUCUCUGGCUGGAGGCAGACCAGUGCCCUCCUGGCUGCAAGGUGGACAGCUGAGGAGCACACGGGCCAGAGCGUUUUGAAAAUGCAGACAAGCAGAGGAAGGAGAAGGGUCUUGACUGCCCAGGGCACUGGUCCCCAUGGGGUCUGCUGGGACCGCACCCUGGCCCUGUACCUCCUCCCAUGGAAGAGGCCCCAGGGAGGCUUCUGGGAAGCUCUAGGCCCUAAAGCCCAGGCCUCUGCUGCCCCUCUCUGGGCCGUAGCCCUGGACACCAGCCAGGGAGGCGGCAGCCACACCCAUGGCUCCAGUGGCUCUGGGAGCUUCAGGAACUUGCCUUCCUGAGCCGCGGAGCCCCAGGUGGCCCCGCCUGGGCACCGGGGUGCACUGAUGGGCAAGAGGGGAAUUCUCCACUGUUGAAGUUUCCCAAGCAUCAGCUUCUGGAUGUGCAAUCGCUUGGCGAGGUGUCACGAGAGGCCCGUGUCACGAGAGGGCCGUGUCCCUGUAACUUGGAUCCCCACGGGUGCUUCACCAUGUGGGACAAUGCCCCCUUCUUGGUCUCCUUUGAAAACAAGUCACAGUGACAAGGAGACAGGUGGUGUUUGCACUCACACAGACCCAUGACUACCACAGUGAGUAUGGAUUUCUCUCCCUUCACCACCACUCAGCUUUAGAGAGCUCCUCUUCAAAGACAGGACUAAACGCAGCACUGAACCUGAGCAGGGCAAAGACCCUGGAAAGAGUUACAGUGACCCCAUCACAUGGGCCCUUCAUGGCCAGCUGCUUCAUCCUGUCCCUAGCACAUUAAAUCACAGGUGCAUCCGAUGCCCAGGGAGCCAUUUGGCACCUGUCAGGGACUGAGGUUCCCCCCAGGGAGCUAGAAGGACGGUGUGGACUGGGCUGGCUGCUCCAGCCCCAUGCAGUGGGAUCUGGAGGAAGCUGUCCGUCACCCCCCCUGCACUGCCUGUUUGUCCGUCAUGGACCUGACUCUGGGCCUACUGGACCCCCUUGAGAAUCAUGAAGUCUUGCACCCCAAA